Molecule: ribosomal RNA, 814 nt
Filed under: uncultured bacterium
Lineage: Bacteria
Description: bacterial SSU rRNA
Rfam family: Bacterial small subunit ribosomal RNA
Source: RNAcentral
AGAGUUUGAUCAUGGCUCAGGAUUAACGCUGGCGGCAUGCCUAAUACAUGCAAGUCGAACGAAACAGUUUACUGUUUAGUGGCGAACGGGUGAGUAAUACGUAUUUAAUCUACCCUUAAGUUGGGGAUAAUUACCGGAAACGGUGACUAAUACCGAAUAUCUUAUCGAAACACAAGUUUUGAUAAUGAAAGGAGCGUUUGUUUCGCUUUUGGAUGAGAAUACGUUGUAUUAGAUAGUUGGUGGGGUAACGGCCUACCAAGUCGAUGAUACAUAGUCGGACUGAGAGGUUGAACGACCACACUGGGAUUGAGAUACGGCCCAGACUCCUACGGGAGGCAGCAGUAAGGAAUUUUUCACAAUGGGGGAAACCCUGAUGAAGCAAUGCCGCGUGAUUGAAGAAGGUUUUAGGAUUGUAAAAAUCUGUGGUAAAGGAAAAAAAUCUAGGUAGAGAAAAAUACUUAGAAUUGAUAUUACUUUACUAGAAAGUCAUGACUAACUACGUGCCAGCAGUCGCGGUAAUACGUAGGUGGCAAGCGUUAUCCGGAUUCAUUGGGUGUAUAGUAUGCGUAGACGGAGAAACAAGUCAAAAAUCUAAAAAUAAGGCUCAACCUUAUACCAUUUUUGAUACUGUUUUUCUAGAGGGCAAAAGAUGUUAGUAGAAUUUCAUGUGUAGCGGUGAAAUGCGUGGAGAUAUGAAAGAAUACCAAAAGCGAAGGCAACUAACAUGUUUGUUCCUGACGUUGAGGCAUGAGAGCAUGGGUAGCAAAUAGGAUUAGAUACCCUAGUAGUCCAUAGCUGUAAACGAUGAGUGCUA